UACAGAGGUCUCAAGCGUUGUUCGGAUUCAUUGGGCGUAAAGGGUGUGUAGGUGGCGCGCUAAGUCGGGUGUGAAAUUUCGGAGCUUAACUCCGAAACUGCAUUCGAUACUGGCGUGCUUGAGGACUGGAGAGGAGACUGGAAUUCAUGGUGUAGCAGUGAGAUGCGUAGAGAUCAUGAGGAAGACCAGUGGCGAAGGCGGGUCUCUGGACAGUUCCUGACACUGAGACGCGAAAGCGUGGGGAGCGAACAGG
This 253-nucleotide ribosomal RNA is filed under the name uncultured bacterium. RNAcentral describes it as "partial 16S ribosomal RNA". It matches the Rfam family "Bacterial small subunit ribosomal RNA", at positions 524 to 776 of the family's 1533-position model. The record is from RNAcentral.